Molecule: ribosomal RNA, 795 nt
Filed under: Streptomyces sp. WMMB 308
Lineage: Bacteria; Bacillati; Actinomycetota; Actinomycetes; Kitasatosporales; Streptomycetaceae
Description: bacterial SSU rRNA
Rfam family: Bacterial small subunit ribosomal RNA
Source: RNAcentral
AUGCAAGUCGAACGAUGAAGCCGCUUCGGUGGUGGAUUAGUGGCGAACGGGUGAGUAACACGUGGGCAAUCUGCCCUGCACUUCGGGACAAGCCCUGGAAACGGGGUCUAAUACCGGAUAUGACCACCGGCCGCAUGGUCUGGUGGUGGAAAGCUCCGGCGGUGCAGGAUGAGCCCGCGGCCUAUCAGCUUGUUGGUGGGGUGAAGGCCUACCAAGGCGACGACGGGUAGCCGGCCUGAGAGGGCGACCGGCCACACUGGGACUGAGACACGGCCCAGACUCCUACGGGAGGCAGCAGUGGGGAAUAUUGCACAAUGGGCGCAAGCCUGAUGCAGCGACGCCGCGUGAGGGAUGACGGCCUUCGGGUUGUAAACCUCUUUCAGCAGGGAAGAAGCCUCUNGGGGUGACGGUACCUGCAGAAGAAGCACCGGCUAACUACGUGCCAGCAGCCGCGGUAAUACGUAGGGUGCGAGCGUUGUCCGGAAUUAUUGGGCGUAAAGAGCUCGUAGGCGGCNUGUCGCGUCGGAUGUGAAAGCCCGGGGCUUAACCCCGGGUCUGCAUUCGAUACGGGCAGGCUGGAGUACGGCAGGGGAGAUCGGAAUUCCUGGUGUAGCGGUGAAAUGCGCAGAUAUCAGGAGGAACACCGGUGGCGAAGGCGGAUCUCUGGGCCGAUACUGACGCUGAGGAGCGAAAGCGUGGGGAGCGAACAGGAUUAGAUACCCUGGUAGUCCACGCCGUAAACGUUGGGCACUAGGUGUGGGCGGCAUUCCACGUCGUCCGUGCCGCAGCUAACGC